Molecule: ribosomal RNA, 889 nt
Filed under: Clonostachys rosea
Lineage: Eukaryota; Fungi; Ascomycota; Sordariomycetes; Hypocreales; Bionectriaceae
Description: partial large subunit ribosomal RNA
Rfam family: Eukaryotic large subunit ribosomal RNA
Source: RNAcentral
AUAUCAAUAAGCGGAGGAAAAGAAACCAACAGGGAUUGCCCUAGUAACGGCGAGUGAAGCGGCAACAGCUCAAAUUUGAAAUCUGGCGCAAGCCCGAGUUGUAAUUUGUAGAGGAUGUUUCUGGCGACGUGCCUUCCGAGUUCCCUGGAACGGGACGCCAUAGAGGGUGAGAGCCCCGUACGGUUGGAUGCCUAGCCUCUGUGAAACUCCUUCGACGAGUCGAGUAGUUUGGGAAUGCUGCUCUAAAUGGGAGGUAUACGUCUUCUAAAGCUAAAUACCGGCCAGAGACCGAUAGCGCACAAGUAGAGUGAUCGAAAGAUGAAAAGCACUUUGAAAAGAGGGUUAAAAAGUACGUGAAAUUGUUGAAAGGGAAGCGUUCAUGACCAGACUUGGGCAGGUUGAUCAUCCGUGGUUCUCCGCGGUGCACUCUGCCUGCCCAGGCCAGCAUCAGUUCGCCCCGGGGGAUAAAGGCUUUGGGAAUGUGGCUCCCUCGGGAGUGUUAUAGCCCACUGUGUAAUACCCUGGGGUGGACUGAGGUUCGCGCUCUGCAAGGAUGCUGGCGUAAUGGUCAUCAACGACCCGUCUUGAAACACGGACCAAGGAGUCGUCUUCGUAUGCGAGUGUUCGGGUGUCAAACCCCUACGCGUAAUGAAAGUGAACGUAGGAGAGAGCUUCGGCGCAUCUCCGACCGAUCCUGAUGUUCUCGGAUGGAUUUGAGUAAGAGCAUACGGGGCCGGACCCGAAAGAAGGUGAACUAUGCCUGUAUAGGGUGAAGCCAGAGGAAACUCUGGUGGAGGCUCGCAGCGGUUCUGACGUGCAAAUCGAUCGUCAAAUAUGGGCAUGGGGGCGAAAGACUAAUCGAACCUUCUAGUAGCUGGUUUCCGCCGAA